Non-coding RNA from Schistosoma mattheei, 45 nucleotides. Lineage: Eukaryota; Metazoa; Platyhelminthes; Trematoda; Strigeidida; Schistosomatidae. The record is from Rfam.
AUCUAGCUGACAAGUCUCAAAUAGGACGGAACGUGCUUCAUGGAU